RNAcentral lists this ribosomal RNA (252 nucleotides) under uncultured bacterium. Its description in RNAcentral is "partial 16S ribosomal RNA". It matches the Rfam family "Bacterial small subunit ribosomal RNA", at positions 524 to 776 of the family's 1533-position model. The record is from RNAcentral.
UACGUAGGUCCCGAGCGUUGUCCGGAUUUAUUGGGCGUAAAGCGAGCGCAGGUGGUCUAUUAAGUCUGGUGUAAAAGGCAGUGGCUCAACCAUUGUAUGCAUUAGAAACUGGUAGACUUGAGUGCAGGAGAGGAGAGUGGAAUUCCAUGUGUAGCGGUGAAAUGCGUAGAUAUAUGGAGGAACACCGGUGGCGAAAGCGGCUCUCUGGCCUGUAACUGACACUGAGGCUCGAAAGCGUGGGGAGCAAACAGG